RNAcentral lists this ribosomal RNA (479 nucleotides) under uncultured bacterium. Its description in RNAcentral is "bacterial SSU rRNA". It matches the Rfam family "Bacterial small subunit ribosomal RNA", at positions 15 to 518 of the family's 1533-position model. The record is from RNAcentral.
GAUCAUGGCUCAGGAUUAACGCUGGCGGCGUGCCUAAUACAUGCAAGUCGAAUGGUAGCAAUACCAUGGCGAACGGGUGAGUAACACGUAGGUAACCUGUCUUUAAGACGAGGAUAACCGUUGGAAACGACGGAUAAUACUCGAUAGGUGAUUUGAGGGCAUCCUUGGAUCAUUAAAGAUUUAUCACUUAGAGAGGGGCCUGCGGCGCAUUAGCUAGAUGGCGGUGUAAUGGACCACCAUGGCGAUGAUGCGUAGCCGGACUGAGAGGUUGAACGGCCACAAUGGAACUGAGAACGGUCCAUACUCCUACGGGAGGCAGCAGUAGGGAAUUUUCGGCAAUGGGCGAAAGCCUGAACCCGAGCAACGCCGCGUGAACGAAGAAGUAUUUCGGUAUGUAAAGUUCUUUUAUCGGGGAAGAAAAUAUUCAAAUUGACGGUACCUGAUGAAUAAGCUCCGGCUAACUACGUGCCAGCAGCGGC